CUCUGAUGUUCUUGAAGCUGGGAAUCGU
Molecule: non-coding RNA, 28 nt
Filed under: Homo sapiens (human)
Lineage: Eukaryota; Metazoa; Chordata; Mammalia; Primates; Hominidae
Source: RNAcentral